CCUACGGGAGGCAGCAGUGGGGAAUUUUGGACAAUGGGCGCAAGCCUGAUCCAGCAAUGCCGCGUGAGUGAAGAAGGCCUUCGGGUUGUAAAGCUCUUUUGUCAGGGAAGAAACGGUGAGAGCUAAUAUCUCUUGCUAAUGACGGUACCUGAAGAAUAAGCACCGGCUAACUACGUGCCAGCAGCCGCGGUAAUACGUAGGGUGCAAGCGUUAAUCGGAAUUACUGGGCGUAAAGCGUGCGCAGGCGGUUUUGUAAGUCUGUCGUGAAAUCCCCGGGCUCAACCUGGGAAUUGCGAUGGAGACUGCAAGGCUAGAAUCUGGCAGAGGGGGGUAGAAUUCCACGUGUAGCAGUGAAAUGCGUAGAGAUGUGGAGGAACACCGAUGGCGAAGGCAGCCCCCUGGGUCAAGAUUGACGCUCAUGCACGAAAGCGUGGGGAGCAAACAGGAUUAGAUACCCUGGUAGUCCACGCCCUAAACGAUGUCUACUAGUUGUCGGGUUUUAAUUAACUUGGUUAACGCAGCUAACGCGUGAAGUAGACCGCCUGGGGAGUACGGUCGCAAGNUUAAAACCGUUAAAUGAAUUGACGGCUGAGAGNGCGAGCGACGACGAGGGAGGAGG
This 619-nucleotide ribosomal RNA is filed under the name uncultured bacterium. RNAcentral describes it as "bacterial SSU rRNA". It matches the Rfam family "Bacterial small subunit ribosomal RNA", at positions 338 to 947 of the family's 1533-position model. The record is from RNAcentral.